AUUGAACGCUGGCGGCAGGCCUAACACAUGCAAGUCGAGCGGAUGAAGGGAGCUUGCUCCUGGAUUCAGCGGCGGACGGGUGAGUAAUGCCUAGGAAUCUGCCUGGUAGUGGGGGAUAACGUCCGGAAACGGGCGCUAAUACCGCACACGUCCUGAGGGAGAAAGUGGGGGAUCUUCGGACCUCACGCUAUCAGAUGAGCCUAGGUCGGAUUAGCUAGUUGGUGGGGUAAAGGCCUACCAAGGCGACGAUCCGUAACUGGUCUGAGAGGAUGAUCAGUCACACUGGAACUGAGACACGGUCCAGACUCCUACGGGAGGCAGCAGUGGGGAAUAUUGGACAAAGGGCGAAAGCCUGAUCCAGCCAUGCCGCGUGUGUGAAGAAGGUCUUCGGAUUGUAAAGCACUUUAAGUUGGGAGGAAGGGCAGUAAGUUAAUACCUUGCUGUUUUGACGUUACCAACAGAAUAAGCGCCGGCUAACUUCGUG
This 484-nucleotide ribosomal RNA is filed under the name uncultured bacterium. RNAcentral describes it as "partial 16S ribosomal RNA". It matches the Rfam family "Bacterial small subunit ribosomal RNA", at positions 30 to 507 of the family's 1533-position model. The record is from RNAcentral.